RNAcentral lists this ribosomal RNA (468 nucleotides) under uncultured bacterium. RNAcentral describes it as "partial 16S ribosomal RNA". It matches the Rfam family "Bacterial small subunit ribosomal RNA", at positions 28 to 507 of the family's 1533-position model. The record is from RNAcentral.
GACGAACGCUGGCGGCGUGCUUAACACAUGCAAGUCGAACGGAAAGGCCCUGCUUUUGUGGGGUGCUCGAGUGGCGAACGGGUGAGUAACACGUGAGUAACCUGCCCUUGACUUUGGGAUAACUUCAGGAAACUGGGGCUAAUACCGGAUAGGAGCUCCUACUGCAUGGUGGGGGUUGGAAAGUUUCGGCGGUUGGGGAUGGACUCGCGGCUUAUCAGCUUGUUGGUGGGGUAGUGGCUUACCAAGGCUUUGACGGGUAGCCGGCCUGAGAGGGUGACCGGCCACAUUGGGACUGAGAUACGGCACAGACUCCUACGGGAGGCAGCAGUGGGGAAUAUUGCACAAUGGGCGGAAGCCUGAUGCAGCAACGCCGCGUGCGGGAUGACGGCCUUCGGGUUGUAAACCGCUUUCGCCUGUGACGAAGCGUGAGUGACGGUAAUGGGUAAAGAAGCACCGGCUAACUACGUG